Molecule: ribosomal RNA, 252 nt
Filed under: uncultured bacterium
Lineage: Bacteria
Description: partial 16S ribosomal RNA
Rfam family: Bacterial small subunit ribosomal RNA
Source: RNAcentral
UACGGAGGAUGCGAGCGUUAUCCGGAUUUAUUGGGUUUAAAGGGUGCGUAGGCGGAUCGUUAAGUCAGUGGUCAAAUUGAGGGGCUCAACCCCUUCCCGCCAUUGAAACUGGCGAUCUUGAGUGGAAGAGAAGUACGCGGAAUGCGUGGUGUAGCGGUGAAAUGCAUAGAUAUCACGCAGAACCCCGAUUGCGAAGGCAGCAUGCCGGCUUCCGACUGACGCUGAAGCACGAAAGCGUGGGGAUCGAACAGG